RNAcentral lists this long non-coding RNA (348 nucleotides) under Prunus persica (peach). Its description in RNAcentral is "long non-coding RNA (PPER_LNC006047)". The record is from RNAcentral. Lineage: Eukaryota; Viridiplantae; Streptophyta; Magnoliopsida; Rosales; Rosaceae.
UGGCUUGUAGCUGUUGGUUUCUGAUAACUAUGGGUCAGCGCUGACGUUAGCAACCUGAAGGCAAGGUGACGGGCCAUAUCUCCCUUUGGGCUUGCCAAGGCUCGUGGAUCCCAAGCCUUGCCCGAGCUGGAUGUUGCAGGCUGGAGUUGCUCCCGGGGCCUAGGGCCUCCUCCUGCCUGGGCUAGCCUCUUGCGCUGGAGAUGCUCUUAUCACCAGUUGGCUCUGGUUCAAAACUCUAUCCCUCUCUUUAAAAUACAAUAUCGUUGUAACUCAAAAAAGAGAUAUAAUACAUAAUGUGGUCUCACUGGCAUUACUCUUUACACAUAUAAUAAAAUGUUGCAAAUGUGG